RNAcentral lists this long non-coding RNA (832 nucleotides) under Olea europaea (common olive). Its description in RNAcentral is "long non-coding RNA (OEUR_LNC000936)". Lineage: Eukaryota; Viridiplantae; Streptophyta; Magnoliopsida; Lamiales; Oleaceae. The record is from RNAcentral.
UUCCAUUCCAAUCAAAGAAGGCUGGUAGAGGACUUCCGGGCAACGGAAUCUCUCAGCUCCAAUUGUAAUAACCUGUCCAUCGGGCAAUUCAUAGUUCUUCUCAACAGAUGAGCUGCUCUUGGCGGUCUCAAGCUCCUGUUCAUAGUCAAGUGCCACAUAAGCAAGCUUCUCCUUCAUGUCACGGACAAUUUCUCGCUCAGCUGAUGUGGUGAACAUGUAACCUCUUUCAGUGAGGAUCUUCAUGAGAUAGUCUGUGAGGUCACGACCAGCAAGGUCCAGACGAAGGAUGGCAUGGGGCAGAGCAUACCCUUCAUAAAUGGGGACAGUAUGACUCACACCAUCACCAGAAUCCAGAACAAUACCUGUCAUCAAAAGAAAUCCAUACGUCAUUAAAUAAAACUACUACUGCAUGUUCAACAGAGACAUAUUUAGAUUCCAAGAACUGAUACACACCAGUUGUACGACCACUUGCAUAGAGGGAAAGAACGGCUUGGAUAGCAACAUACAUUGCUGGAACAUUGAAGGUCUCAAACAUGAUCUGGGUCAUCUUCUCUCUGUUAGCCUUGGGGUUGAGAGGUGCCUCAGUGAGAAGCACAGGAUGCUCCUCAGGAGCAACACGAAGUUCAUUGUAGAAAGUGUGAUGCCAAAUCUUCUCCAUGUCAUCCCAGUUGCUGACUAUACCAUGCUCAAUAGGGUAUUUCAAGGUCAAGAUACCUCUUUUAGACUGAGCUUCAUCACCCACGUAUGCAUCCUUCUGUCCCAUCCCAACCAUAACACCAGUGUGUCGUGGUCGGCCCACAAUACUUGGGAAAACUGCCCUGGGAGCAUCAUC